AUACGGAGGGUGUAAGCGUUAUCCGGAUUUAUUGGGUUUCAAGGGUGCGCAGGCGGACCUGUCAGUCAGUGGUGAAAUCCCGGGGCUCAACCCCGGAACUGCCAUUGAUACUACAGGUCUUGAAUACGGUUGAAGUAGGCGGAAUGUAGCAUGUAGCGGUGAAAUGCAUAGAUAUGCUACAGAACACCGAUCGCGAAGGCAGCUUACUAAGCCGAUAUUGACGCUCAGGCACGAAAGCGUGGGUAGCGAACAGGAUUAGAAACCCCAGUAGUCC
RNAcentral lists this ribosomal RNA (274 nucleotides) under uncultured bacterium. Its description in RNAcentral is "partial 16S ribosomal RNA". It matches the Rfam family "Bacterial small subunit ribosomal RNA", at positions 523 to 796 of the family's 1533-position model. The record is from RNAcentral.